Molecule: ribosomal RNA, 497 nt
Filed under: uncultured bacterium
Lineage: Bacteria
Description: partial 16S ribosomal RNA
Rfam family: Bacterial small subunit ribosomal RNA
Source: RNAcentral
GAUGAACGCUGGCGGCGUGCCUAAUACAUGCAAGUCGAGCGAACAGACGAGGAGCUUGCUCCUUCGACGUUAGCGGCGGACGGGUGAGUAACACGUAGGUAACCUACCUAUAAGACUGGGAUAACUUCGGGAAACCGGAGCUAAUACCGGAUAAUAUUUCGAACCGCAUGGUUCGAUAGUGAAAGAUGGCUUUGCUAUCACUUAUAGAUGGACCUGCGCCGUAUUAGCUAGUUGGUAAGGUAACGGCUUACCAAGGCAACGAUACGUAGCCGACCUGAGAGGGUGAUCGGCCACACUGGAACUGAGACACGGUCCAGACUCCUACGGGAGGCAGCAGUAGGGAAUCCUCCGCAAUGGGCGAAAGCCUGACGGAGCAACGCCGCGUGAGUGAUGAAGGUCUUCGGAUCGUAAAACUCUGUUAUUAGGGAAGAACAAACGUGUAAGUAACUGUGCACGUCUUGACGGUACCUAAUCAGAAAGCCACGGCUAACUACGUG